AGACGUAGGCCCGGGGGUUCCCGGCCUGGCCGGGUAGCAGCGCGGGGGCGGCCCUGGGGCGGGGAGACAGGGGGCGGCUCCACUCCGGCGCUCUGCGGAGGACAGCAGCGAUCGCCAAGGCUCAGCUGGAGUGCAGUGGCAUGGUGGCAUGAUCUUGGCUCACUGCAACUGCUGCAUCCUGGGCUCAACUGAUUCUUCUGCCUCAGCCUCCUGAGUAGCUGGGACUACAGGCACACACUACCACGUCCAGGUAAUUUUUUUUGUAUUUUUAGUAAAGAGGGGGAUUCAUCAUGUUGCGCAGGGUGAUUUUUUUUUUUUUUUUUUAAUUCUUUUCUGAGACGGAGUCUUGCUCUGUCACCCAGGCUGGAGUGCAAUGGCGGGAU
Molecule: long non-coding RNA, 383 nt
Filed under: Homo sapiens (human)
Lineage: Eukaryota; Metazoa; Chordata; Mammalia; Primates; Hominidae
Description: HSALNT0404995
Source: RNAcentral